RNAcentral lists this non-coding RNA (665 nucleotides) under Cryptosporidium parvum. The record is from RNAcentral. Lineage: Eukaryota; Apicomplexa; Conoidasida; Eucoccidiorida; Cryptosporidiidae.
GACAAAUUCUUCAAAUUGUUUAUAUUUUUAGGUGGGGGUGGCAAAAUGUGUGGAAAUUUAGGGAGUGAAAUUUUUUCGCACCAAAUUUUUGAAUUAUAAAAUAUACCGCUGUGUGGCAAAGGAGUAGAUUUAUCGUCCGGAGUAGAAGGGGCAGUGGUUUUGUCAUCGUUCAAGACACACUUAUUUUUUGCGUAAGAUUGAUCAAAAUUCUCCGAGAACUUAUUUACACCAUCAUUGUCUUCGCAAUCAUAAUUUUUUCCUCCGUGUUUUGCGGAGGAAUGACAAGACUCAAAAAAAAUUGGCAAUGAAAGUGACUUAGACGAUGAAUCUGUAAUAUUUAAAAGUGAAGAUGAAGCGCACUCCAGCUCAUAUUUAGCAAAGCCUUCAGUCCCGUUAAUUGAGGAGAAAAACGGAUGUAACAACAACUCUUGACAAUCUGGCCGCAUCUUCGGAUCGAUUGUUAGAGAUUUUUGUAAAAAGUCAAGCGCUAUAAGAUCAACUUUUUUUUCGUACCUCUCUUUGAUUGAAAUUAUUUGGUAUGGAGGAAUUACUGCGCUUGAUUGGCUUAACUCAGUGUUGUAUCUUGAAUUUGACCCCGAUAUAAAUCCAUUAUAAAAAUGUUUUUUGUACGCGUCGUAGAGCCUUUUGUCUGAUUCGAGAAUGCC